This 244-nucleotide ribosomal RNA is filed under the name uncultured bacterium. Its description in RNAcentral is "partial 16S ribosomal RNA". It matches the Rfam family "Bacterial small subunit ribosomal RNA", at positions 15 to 254 of the family's 1533-position model. The record is from RNAcentral.
GAUCCUGGCUCAAGACGAACGCUGGCGGCGCGCCUAACACAUGCAAGUCGAACGAGAGAGAAGGAGCUUGCUUCUUCGAUCGAGUGGCGAACGGGUGAGUAACGCGUGAGGAACCUGCCUCAAAGAGGGGGACAACAGUUGGAAACGACUGCUAAUACCGCAUAAGCCCACGGGUCGGCAUCGACCUGAGGGAAAAGGAGUGAUCCGCUUUGAGAUGGCCUCGCGUCCGAUUAGCUAGUUGGUG